This 253-nucleotide ribosomal RNA is filed under the name uncultured bacterium. RNAcentral's name for it is "partial 16S ribosomal RNA". It matches the Rfam family "Bacterial small subunit ribosomal RNA", at positions 524 to 776 of the family's 1533-position model. The record is from RNAcentral.
UACGGGGGGGGCAAGCGUUGUUCGGAAUUACUGGGCGUAGAGGGCGCGUAGGCGGUUUGCUAAGUUGGAUGUGAAAACUCUGGGCUUAACCCAGAGCCUGCAUCCAAAACUGGCAAACUUGAGUACUGGAGGGGAAAGCGGAAUUCCUGGUGUAGCGGUGAAAUGCGUAGAUAUCAGGAGGAACACCGGUGGCGAAGGCGGCUUUCUGGACAGUAACUGACGCUGAGGCGCGAAAGCUAGGGGAGCAAACAGG